Ictalurus punctatus (channel catfish) is the source of this 455-nucleotide long non-coding RNA. The record is from Ensembl. Lineage: Eukaryota; Metazoa; Chordata; Actinopteri; Siluriformes; Ictaluridae.
CAUAAACCCACCACCAGCAACUCUGCAUACAAUGAUUAACUGCUCUUGUUUGACAUCUACUUUUCAGAUGCAUCUGUAAGCAACUGUUAUGGGCCCUCUCCCAUUUUGCAUCCGGUCCUCUUGACAAUGGCACCCACAGUUACCCAGCAGACAGACCUGUGCUGAAAAAAAAAAAAAUUCUACCUCUCUCUUGUCCAGUUUUCCACCCUUUCAGCCCUUCUUUCUGGAAAAAGGGAGUAAAUUGAGCUUGGAGAUGAUUCCUGAACCAGUGGCUGCUCUGUGCUCUCCAUUUUUUGCUUCAGGAACAACAUUGGAGUUGUGGUGACAACAGUGGAAUAUCUAUCCUGAAAACACUCCUUGAUACUAGUUCUGAUACAAAGUUGUGUUAUCCGGGUUUACAGAAAUGGUAUUGAAUGCAUAAAUAGAUCCAUUAAGCUAAUAAUGAUCACUCACUA